CUUUGUUGCCAUUUAUGAAUGAAGUAACAAGAGUUUGGAAAGAACAAGCAACUGACUCAAGGAAUAAUAUUUAUGGUCCUGAGAGGUAACCUGACCCUCACAAGUGCUCCUUGGAGGCCCUGUUGGAAUUGAGAGAACCAAAAUAAAGAACUAGGGAAGAGAAGGC
Suricata suricatta (meerkat) is the source of this 166-nucleotide long non-coding RNA. RefSeq lists it as uncharacterized. The record is from RefSeq and is a predicted model, not a curated record. Lineage: Eukaryota; Metazoa; Chordata; Mammalia; Carnivora; Herpestidae. The transcript has 3 exons.